This 258-nucleotide ribosomal RNA is filed under the name uncultured Diversispora. RNAcentral's name for it is "partial 18S ribosomal RNA". It matches the Rfam family "Eukaryotic small subunit ribosomal RNA", at positions 548 to 810 of the family's 1831-position model. Lineage: Eukaryota; Fungi; Glomeromycota; Glomeromycetes; Diversisporales; Diversisporaceae. The record is from RNAcentral.
UUGGAGGGCAAGUCUGGUGCCAGCAGCCGCGGUAAUUCCAGCUCCAAUAGCGUAUAUUAAAGUUGUUGCAGUUAAAAAGCUCGUAGUUGAACUUCGGGGUCUACCCAUUGGUCAGGCUUAAUUGUCUGCACUGGUGAGAUGGAUCUCUACCUUCUGAGGAACUUUCAUGCCAUUUAUUUGGUGUGAUGGGAAAUCAGGACUGUUACUUUGAAAAAAUUAGAGUGUUUAAAGCAGACUAUCGUCUGAAUACAUUAGCAU